This is a long non-coding RNA of Populus trichocarpa (black cottonwood), 5650 nucleotides long. RefSeq lists it as uncharacterized. The transcript is spliced from 5 exons. Lineage: Eukaryota; Viridiplantae; Streptophyta; Magnoliopsida; Malpighiales; Salicaceae. The record is from RefSeq and is a predicted model, not a curated record.
AAAAUGGACAUAAAGCUACGGAAGAUCGUCUAUUUUGAGUUGCUCAUAUUCCUUUCUUUCUCUCACUACUCCUACAAUACACCCUUUCCCUCUCCUCUCCGUCUCCCAAGUGCGUCUUCCUCAACCUCCGACGCAUUCUUCCGUGAACCCCGUCAUUCUCAGGUGUUCCUGGGUGUCGGAAAUGUAGUCGGAUACAUAUUCGGAUAUUUGUUUUUAAAACUCUCGGUUAUGCAUGGUUAUUGGAGCAGGGACAAUUCUUUCUUUCUGCUUCUCUGUCGUUGCAUUUUUUAUGCCUGAGUCGCCUUAUUGGUUGAUCAUGAAAGUUCAACAGGCUGAUGCCGGGCUGGUUCUUGGAAAAAUAUCAAAUAGCAAGGAAGAGGCUAAGUUAGGGCUUAAAGAAAGAGAAAAUAGAGGAGCAUGGACAGGAUUUAUUAGUAAUCAUUCUGUUUCUUACAUCUUGAUAUGCACCAUUUGUAUUCAUCUAUUCCCAGCUGCAGCUCAUAUAGGUGUUAUUGUCUUGUAUGGACGUGUGAUCUUCGAUAUCAUGGGUGUUCACUCAUUAGAAAGCAGCUUAAUAUCCAACGUAGUUCUCGGGUGUAUCAAGACUUCGUUUACUUUUAGUGGCUAUGUUUUCCAUUGAUCGAAAACAUUCAAGCUUGAGUUGUGCUUCUCCUCCUUUUUAUCCUUCCAGAUCUUCAAAUAAAGACAGUACUUGAAGUCAAAAAAGGUAUAUAUGGUGCAAGCACGAGCAAGAAUCUUCACACUCCUGUUAUAGAUGAGAAUUUUCCUAUGCAACAAAACAGUGCAUUGGUGCUGGGGAAGUCUAGCUGACUCUGUUGCAAUUGACAGGCCUUUUAUAUCGAUGAUACCAUCACUCCGGCAGCAGGGAAGCCUGUGAGCAAUAUGCAACAAAACAGUGCAUUGGUGCUGGGGAAGUAUAGCUGACUCUGUUGCAAUUGACAGGCCUUUUAUAUUGAUGAUACCAUCACUCCGGCAGCAGGGAAGCCUGUGAGCAAUAUGCAAAUGCCACCUUCUGGAUCUUCUGUGAUCAAUCCUAUUACAUCUUUGAAAUCUACGGCUCAAGGAAGGAGUGUAGCUAUGUCAGACCAGAUGACUUGUCAGGGAGCUCCGCAGCACAACCAAAUCAACAGAACCUCUCCCACUCCACAGCUCCACUCUCUUCAGCGAAUUCCUGCUCAAAACCGUAUUCAACCUCCAGCAGUUAGUCCAAUGUCCGGGUAGUAAUUCUCUAGCCUCUUCUCCACGAAAAACUGCUUUGUCACUAACUUCUUAUGAAGCUGGUGAAGCAGAGACUGCUGCAGAAUCAAGUAAUCCAGAACAGCAUUGGUUGAAAAGGGAAAAGGCAUAAUUCAAGGAAAUAAAAGAGGAUCUUUUCUUUAUGGUGGGACGCAGGUUAUGGGAGCCACAUGGAAUAUGGGUGUUGGGCAUGGUGAUCAGAACUUCCUUGGAUCACCAACCUUUUUGCCAGCUUUGGAAUAAAGGAAGAUUUGCUGAAAAGAAUUGCUUUGAUAUCUAGUCCCAGAAACAAGAACUGAUGGGGUUUGACCAACAUUUUCUUCUCUCAAACUGAAAUAAAACAUUGAUCACAUGGGUUCCUUCUGUUUUGUUCUGGUUUGUCAGGUCAGAAAUGCAGUGACCAAUGCUUUUCACGUCUUUUCAGCUGGUUCUCUCUUUUGCUUCUUUUGGCAGGCAACUGGCAUCACCUCUGUUGCAGCCAUCACAUGAUGCUUUGCUCUUUUAAUUAACAGUGGCUUAGACUGCCCUGUUGAUGUUCAUUCGGUCCGUUUAUUGAUGCUUCUCAUUUGAUCCUUCUUUUGACUCCGCCCUCGUCUACUCAAACCUGCUCGUGCUUUCGCCCUUUUUUGUUCCGUUUGUUAUGACUUUGCAUUGUUUUCCUUCAUUUAGCGGCCUGCUCAGGCAGCUCCUUUUAAGUUCGUUUCCUACACUUCUCUGACAGCUGCACACAGCAUUGUCUCCCUGCAGGGUCACUGGCUUCCCAGCCUUGCCUGCGCUCAGACACCCGCGUCCAGACGUGUGGCUUCUGUGCACAACAUGUGGAUCCAUGCUUGCCUGCUCUGCUGCAAUUUCAGUGCCCCUGUGGCUGUCACCUGCUGUUCUUUUUAGUGCAUUGCAUGUACUUUUUUGCUCUUGCCGAGGCAAGAAGAACAUUGCCUAAAUGCCACUGUCGUCAAUUUCUGCUGAAUUUUCUCUAAAUGCUUGAUUGCAAUAUUUAUCGUUUUUUAGCAAUGAUGGUUAUCCUUUUAAGAUUCUACAGACAAAUUCUUUCGGCUUUCCUCCACUAUCCCUCAACGUGAUCUAAAUCAUUGCACAAUCGAAAGAGAACGCCCGCGGUGAAGUGCUUCCAUUUUUCUAAAGGGUGGCUCAAGAAUGCUGGGGUUCAGUUUGUGUUUUGUUUGUCAAUUUCUUUGCAUCAGAUCAUUUACUUUCAAGAUUUUCAGAUUUAAUUGGAAAAUGGUAGUUUGCUGGUUGAUUUAUUAUUUCUUACCAUUUGAAGUGUUUUACCAGACACUUGCUGAAAUUAAUGUUAUAUGAUAUCAAUUUUUCUGAGUCUUACGUUCAUUUAUGUGUUGAAUUUUCUUCUCUUUUCAUGUAUUUGCUUUUCAUUUUGCUUGUGCUAAGCUGCUUCAUCUUCAUUGACUGACAAGGGAUUAUUUUAGUCAUUCUUGUAAUAUUUUGAAAUAAAGAAAGAAGGUUUGAUAGGAAAUGACAACAAUAUCCUUAGAAGAGUAAGUUUUAGGUGUAUAUGGAUGAAGGACAUUUUAGUAAUUGAAUAAAGAGGUGGUAAAUAUAAAAGGAAGAAGAGAAAAGGAAACGAGGAGAAGACUUGUAUUUGAAGAGAGGAACCGUAAGUAGAAGAGAAAGAAGAGGAGAUAAAGGAAGGAGAAGAGAGUUAGGGAAAAUAAAUUUAAAAGAUAAAAUUUAUGUUUUGAUAUGUAAAAUUGCUAGUAUUAAUUAAGAUUGUGAAUUUGUUGAAGAUCAAUGUUUUGAAGAUUUUGAUUUGGGUUUGAAUAAUGAGUUGAUUAGAAUAUUAUGGGUUAAUUGAUAUAGGUAAUGAUUUAUUUAGUUGAUUUGGGAAGAUUUUGAGUAAAGAUGAUUUUGAGUUAUGUUUUGUUUAAAAGAUAAAUUUGAGCUAGAUGUAGAUCAGUAGGUGAUCUGUGAAAAAAUCCGAGUUUAGGGUUAAAGAUAACGAGAUUUCAGUCUAGUCCCUCAAUUUAUAAAGAUUACAGUUUAGUCCUUGAACUUUGGAAAAAUUAUGGUUUUGUCCCUGGAGCUAAAUUCGAGAUUCUGGACAGAAUUUAGGAUGAGUUAUGGGCAACAUCUUAGUAUAGUUAUGAAUUUAUGAUAUUUUUAGUUUUGUCCUCUAAUUUGGUAAAAUUACAAGUUUAACCCCUAAAAAUCUAAGAAAAAUUCAGAUUGGUCCCUAGCUGAAAUUAUAGUUUUUCAGAUUGGUUUUGAUGAAUAAUUGUGGUUUCUUGAUGAAUUAUUAUCAAAUUUUAUGUUUUGUUUCCUUUUGAAAUAGAUUUCGGAAAACCAUUUGAUUUUUUGGUUUUUGAGAAAAAGGACAGGUUUGGUUCAUAAACAUAUAGGCUAUAAGGUUAUGAGUUAGACCCUAAGCUAAGUGUAUUAAAUAGAUUGUACAUUCUUUUUUAGUUGUUUUUUAAUAUGUCUCAUUUUGUAUUCAAAUAUUCUUGAUGUUCUACUUGUGAAACAUCAAUAGGAUUGCCUUCAGUAUAUGCCUCCGUGUUAUUUUUAAUUUUGAGUUAGGUGAGUGAAUAAUUUUUUAUAUGCUAGAAGAUUAGUAUAAAUACUUGAAUUGUUAAUAUGAAAUUAACCGUGCUUCUUGAUAAUUCUUAUAUUGUUAUUUAUUCCUUGUUUAUUAUUAAACAUGAUUAUUUAUUGAAACUGAAUCUCUUAUAUGAACUAUUAUGUACUUCUGAAUUGAUAGUUUUUCGUUUGACUGAUGUCAUGAGUUGAGUUUUGAGAUAUGAAUCUGUCUGUGUGAUUAUAAUAUGGACAUAUAGUAUGUUAGUUAGAAUACUCAUGUUAAUAGGGUAGUGUUAGUUUUUAUGCACAUCGUAUCUGGAUUCUAAUUGGUCCGGAGAGUCACCAACUUGUGGCGACCAAUUAUCCUACAGUAUGGAGCAUCAUGCUCAUUACUUUUUGAUUUUCUAAUGUGCUUUAUUUUAUGAUAUUUUUGUUAUGGUUUAUUUGAGAAACUUUGUUGUAAGAACUUAAAGCCAUAUUUGUAUAUAUAUUCCUCAUUGUUGUAAUAUCUCAUGUACGUAUAUUGAACCCUCUCGUUACUUAUCUUUUUCAGGUUUAUAGUUUAUUAGCAUGAUUUUUUAGUUGAAAUUGGUACUUUUUUAUUAUGUCUAGUUAGUACUCUAUAAUUAUGAUAUUUGUUUUAACUUUUUUAUUAAAAUAAUUAAUUUAUAUUAUGAGAUUAGUUAUGUUAUUAUGUUGUGUAGAAUUUUGUUUUGUUUAUAUAGGUGAAAACGUUUGUAUGUAAGUUUGGGAUAUAUAAUUUGGAAACCUAGAGGAACCUUUUCUUAUGCGCCGGCACCUAGUUUGGGUUCCAUAGCUUGACUUCUGCUUCCCCUCCUUUUUGUCCUACCGGAUCUUCAAACAAAGACAUUACUUUAAGAAAAAAAAAAGAAAAUGUAUGGUGCAAGCACAAGCAAGAAUCUUCGCACUCCUGUCAAACAGUGCAUUGGUGCGGGGGGAGAAUAUAGCUGACUCUGUUACAAUUGACACGCUUUAUAUUGAUGAUACCGUCACUCCUCCGACAGCAGGGAAGCUUUUGAGCAAUAUGAAAAUGCCCCCUUCUGUGGUCAAUUCUAUUCCAUCUUCGCAAUCCAGGGCUCAAGGAAGGAUUGUAGCUAUGUCAGGCCAGAUGACUUAUCAGGGAGGGAGCUCCGCAGCACAACCAAAUCAACAGAACCUCUCCCACUCCACCGCUCCACUCUCUUCAGCGAAUCCCUGCUCAAAACCGUAGUCAACCUCCUGCUCAGCAGAAGUCCAAUGUCCUGGUAGUGAUUCUCAAGCCUCUUCUCCACCAAAAAUUCAGGGAAAUAGAAGAGGAUCUUUUCUAUAUGGUGGGACACAGGUUAUGGGAGCCACAAGGAACGCGGGUGUUGGGCAUGGUGAUCAGAACUUCCCUGGAACAACCUUCUUUUUAGCCAGUUAUGCAAUUUGGUGGUCAGCAUCUUGGUGGUCUUGGAGUUCCUGCGCUUGCCAUGGCGUUUCCCGGAUAUGUUGCUCAGCCGAAAUGACAUGGUAUGCUCAGAAUGGCUGUCAGAUUUUUGGUUUUACCUCGGAUCUUGCAUGGUCUAGGGGUGUGCUGUCAUUGUUCCCUUAAGUGGCAAAUUGAUGCUUCUGAUGAAGCGGAUGUUUUCCGUUGGUGCAAUGAGAUCAUUAUGAUUCAGCUACUCCAAAAAAAAAAACAGAAAAGAAAAGAAACUGAUUGCUUAUUGUGCUCUGUUAUAAACACUAGUGUUUUUCAUUGUCGUGCAUCAGUUUUCUAAAUUUCCUCAGGAUUCCUGUAUAUUCUAAGCAGCAAAUACAUAACCUUUUCUGACUUUGGCAGUGUGACCUGCCUGUUUUUUUU